CUCCAUAACUCAGGAGUCCUACAUGAAGAAUAGGACUCUCCCUGGUUCGCCAGGCUCCCCUGAGAAAAAAUCUCCUGAUUCAUCAGGACCAUCUUCAGAGAACGGUGGGCCAGGCUCCGACGGAUCGUCUCCGUUAUACCAAAAGCCAUUGCCACCCCCGCCUCCGAAACAAUCGACGACGCGACUCAAGCCACAUGUCGUAUCACCAACCGCUUCCGAAUUUCUUCUGGUUACGGGCACUGAGCCGUCGGAGCCUGGUGUGGGUAUGUUUGUUAAUGUCGAGGGGGAUGUGGUUCGGGGGACUCUUGAGUUUCGCAAAUACCCAAUGGCCAUUGUAGUCGAUGACGACAGUAACGAGGGAAACCAUCCGCGUACGAGUGACGAAAAUCAGAAUGGGUAUGUCUUGGCAGUUAUCAGCGCUGACGACGACGAGGACAGCCGAACAUAUCUUGAGGUGCAGAGGUGGAAUGCAGUUCCAGGGGAACGUAGGUUACAAAAGGCAUCGGUAGAAAUACCCUCAGCCAGCCCAUCUCCCGGCGCGGUUGGAAUUAAGCGUUCUGUCGGUGCCAGCCGUGCCUCCUUUUCAGAAAUCGUCGAGGUGAUGCGGAUGGUUCGAUUAAAGCUGUCCAGCGUAAUUUCGCCAACGAUUCCUUCAACACCCUUAGAGAAUAGCGACCCGAGAACCCGGGCCUCCCUCGAACAUCUACAAAAGGAAAGGGAGCUAUUUGAUAACCAGGACACCGACUCUGAGGGCCCAAAGCAUCCUUCUUCAUCGAGUGUUAACCGUGACUGGGAAGUUCAAAGGAACCAAGAAGAAGCCAAGUUUGCCCGUGGGCUCGCAACUGCCAACAGCAGUAUACUUCUCUGGGAAGGAAACAAAAUUUGGAGGGUUCUACGGAAUCCGCUGGCGCUGCAAUUGGAGAAUUCUCUCGAAUUGGCUAAGCAAACAAGUAGCACCGACGGGAAUGAGCCUGCUAUUGAUAGAGAAGCCAUUGUAGGUCUUAUCCAAGGACUUCAAGAUAUGGAACCCAAAACAGAAACAGAAUACAUCGGUUUGCGUUACGUCCGACAGAAGGCAAGUUUGCUUCUCUUUGUUGAUCUACUCUCCGCAAACGCUGCGUCUCGGGUCGAGUCGACGAUAAAAUCAACGGAAGAUGCGCUCGUCGCCGGGGAGCUCGACCCACGAGUGGUUCUUCUUUUAAUACCUCUACUUAAAGAUGAAGUACUUCAAGGCCCGCAAGGGAUCUGGGUAUACAAUGGCCUAGUCAAGGCGAUAUCAUCGCGUUUCAGUCCACCAGAUGUAGAAACAGAACAUAAACUACCGAAUUUUCGCAUCGAUGACGAUAUUCUUCACAUGAUUAGGCGUUACCUACUUGGUUGGCAGAAGAAACGAGGCUAUGGUAGUGUGACAGAUGAGACGUAUGUGUUUAAUAGUGUCGACGCUGCGUUGCUACAUUUACUGCUUUAUCUAGAUGCGAAACAUAUUCACGAAAGAAAUGCGCCACUUGGAGGUUCUCUGCGGUCAGAGCUGAACAAGCUUGUUGACAACUGGAAGGGUAACUUUGAUAGAGCUGUGCAUCUACUCGAAAGUUACAAUAGGCUUUUUGUGCUUAGCAGAUUGUAUCAGAGCCAGAAAAUGGCCAAGCAUGUUCUAGCAACCUGGCGAAGGAUAGUCGAGGGAGAAAAGGACGAAGGAGGGGAGCUAUCGGGGCCAGCAGCUGAUAUUCAGAUUCGAAAAUAUCUGGUAAAAAUCCGAGAUGCUCAUUUGGUUGAGGAGUAUGGUCCCUGGCUUGCUGCGCGCAACCCCAAACUUGGAAUCCAAGUCUUUGCGGAUGAGAGCAGCAGAGUGAAAUUCAGUCCACCGCAGGUAAUUUCACUGCUGCAAAAGCAUGCUCCAGGGGCUGUCCAAGAGUAUCUAGAGCACCUUGUUUUCACAAAAAAGGAUACCCAAUACGCCGAUGACCUUAUAGCCUACUAUCUCGACACAGUCCUCUCAAUCCUCGAAUCCUCCCCUGAAGCCCGCGCCUCGUUGACAGAAUCCUACUCAACCUACCGCGCGCUACAAGCCCCAAAACCUUCUUAUCUGAGCUUCAUCACUCACAACCACCCCCCAGAACCGUGGUGGCAAUCCCGCCUCCGCCUCCUCCAACUACUAGGAGGCGGCUCAACAACCCAAUUUACCUCCACAUCCCCUCCAACCAACCUUUCUUACUCCAUCUCCGCAGUGCUCGCUCGAAUCGAACCGUUCAAAAACGAGCUCGUCUCUGAAAACAUAAUCCUCGACGGCCGCCAAGGCCGCCACCGCGAGGCCCUCCGCCUCCUUACCCACGGCCUCAGCGACUACGACACCGCAAUUCGCUAUUGUGCGUACGGCGGACCAACCUGGUCCGCGCCACCAACGACAACAACAAGCGACACGGCCACAGCCGCGAGACAAGCUGAACUCUUCACCUACCUCCUCACAGAGUUCCUGCAGAUUGCAGACCCCGUCUGCCGCGCCGAGCGCACUAGCGAUCUGCUCGCGCGCUUCGCGUCGGUGUAUGAUAUUGCGGAUGUGCUCCGGUUGGUUCCAGACGAGUGGAGCGUGGAUAUCCUGAGCGAGUAUCUGGUGCGUGUUUUGCGGGGAGUCGUGAGUAGCGUGCGGGAGGCGAAGGUGCAACGGGCGCUUAGUGCGGGAUUGUAUUUGAGAGUUGACGCGGGAUUUGGGGAGAAACUGGAA
RNAcentral lists this small RNA (2719 nucleotides) under Histoplasma capsulatum. RNAcentral describes it as "hypothetical RNA". RNAcentral also lists the same sequence under 1 other name. The record is from RNAcentral. Lineage: Eukaryota; Fungi; Ascomycota; Eurotiomycetes; Onygenales; Ajellomycetaceae.